Molecule: ribosomal RNA, 374 nt
Filed under: uncultured organism
Description: partial 16S ribosomal RNA
Rfam family: Bacterial small subunit ribosomal RNA
Source: RNAcentral
GUAGGUGGCAAGCGUUGUCCGGAAUUAUUGGGCGUAAAGCGCGCGCAGGCGGUUCUUUAAGUCUGAUGUGGAAGCCCACGGCUCAACCGUGGAGGGUCAUUGGAAACUGGAGAACUUGAGUACAGAAGAGGAAAGCGGAAUUCCACGUGUAGCGGUGAAAUGCGUAGAGAUGUGGAGGAACACCAGUGGCGAAGGCGGCUUUCUGGUCUGUAACUGACGCUGAGGCGCGAAAGCGUGGGGAGCAAACAGGGAUUAGAUACCCUGGUAGUCCACGCCGUAAACGAUGAGUGCUAAGUGUUAGGGGGGUUUCCGCCCCCUUAGUGCUGCAGCUAACGCAUUAAGCACUCCGCCUGGGGAGUACGGCCGCAAGGCUG